Long non-coding RNA from Neofelis nebulosa (Clouded leopard), 1664 nucleotides. RefSeq lists it as uncharacterized. The transcript has 6 exons. The record is from RefSeq and is a predicted model, not a curated record. Lineage: Eukaryota; Metazoa; Chordata; Mammalia; Carnivora; Felidae.
UCUACCAAGAGGUCAACACAGAAGCUAUGGCCAACUUCAAAACCAGCUCACGCUCCCAAGUACGAGCCACUUGCACGACUGGCUCUAUGUGGUCACGGCACAGCCAGCAAAGACUGCUGUGGUGAAUUUACCCUUCCUGGCAUGUGAGGAGAGGGCUCACGCUGUGAGGUGACAUGUGCAUGCAUUCCUGUCACCUGUGCCACUUACUAGUCAUUUAAGCUCAUUAUCUCUCUGAAGUGCGGUGCCCUCAACUCAAAAACGAGGGUCCCAGCAUCGAGGACUGAAAGUGAAAUCUGCACCGAGUGGUCAACGGAGUCCCCGUCACAUGGAGAGGGCUCAGUAAGCGUGAGCUGCCGACAGAACCACAGCCACGAAGUGUGAGCCUGAUCGGCCCCACCCGGACCUCGGAAACGGCACAGGUCUGUGAGGCAAAAUCACUGCUCUGCAGAGAUCGUAUGUGUGCAAAGAGUUUUCUUCUUCAGACGCACUGUGUUUUGUGCCGUUAAGAUACAACACGAUGCCCCCAGCGUGCCGAGCCUCAGGAGGUCUGCUCCGUCCUGGUGACUCCACCACCGCACGAAUCACACGGCUACGCAAACGGCCUUGGAAAGAGAUCAGAUCUUCCCAUUCUGACACGUACACACAACCUGUAAAUCUUGUAUUCUGAGUCGGCCCGAACAUAAGGGUUGCAGCAACCGCAGGACUGGAUCUACAUUAGACGUGCGGAGGACGGAGCUGGCAUCCAGAACCUGAAGCCACCUCUUCCCUUUGUUGUCUUGCUUCUGUUGUUCAGGGGUCUCCCCCAGAAUCGCGAACUUCACGCACCCAGACGCUUCAAAGAAGAAUCACGCUUUUGGGCCACAGUCCAGGGAAAAACACCAGUCCAAACUUCCUGAAAGCACAAAGCUGCCUGCUGCUGUGUACGUGUAGGAGAGGCUGAGACAAAACCCUCCCCUGCCGCACCCUCUGCAGACGGACCCGGGCUGUGUUCAGGACUCACAAGAGCAAAGGAUGAAACGGAGUCUUACAGUUUGGGAACAUUAACUGGUGACGUUGGAGGCUCACCCAAGAAAAGAGCUCCGACCUUAGAGCCCUGAAGACACGUAGCCCUUGGAGUUCACGUGGAAUUCGGCAGGAGUUGACCCAGGUCGUGUCCGUUGGCAAGGCUGAGGGAUUAGUCUGUGUGGAGGCACACAGAUGCCCGGACACAGUGCGGACUCCAGAGUAGAGCGCCAGACCCCAUAGUCCCAGGAAGGCACGCGUUUUCAGCAAAACUUUAAAUCUGCAAUAGAGGGGACUUUAAACCAUGCUGCUAAAUAUCACUGGAAAAUGUACUGUGAGGUCUAAAUUAACAGAUCUCUAGCAGACUCUCUUGUGCUCGUGUCUGAUGGAUUUGCCCCGCAUCCAAUCCUACCUUCCUGUUAAAGCUCUGAUGCUUUGCUUCUAGUGGUAGGAUUGAAGACGGGACAUAAAUUGUGCCACCUACCAUCAAAACAGAUUUUUGCAAAACCGAGGCUGAAUAAAGAUUUUAAACUCUGUACUCCAAGUGAAUUUCACGUCUUGAUUCCGUUCAAGCAAUUAUCGAGGAUCCAUUAGGCACGAUGGCUUAUUGACAGGAAUACGAACGCAGUGUUUGUAGCCCAAGCAGGCGGAGAAGGAAGAAC